CACCACCCAGGCUCUCUAGCCUUUGGCUGGGUGCAACUUCCAUUUUAGGUGUUGGAUCUGAGAGAAAAAAAAGGAGAGAGGGAGAGAGAGAGAGAAGAGUAGGAAAGAUCCUGAAAGGAGGAAGAGGUGGCGAAAAAUCAACUGCCUUGCUGGAUUUGUCUUUCUCAACUCGUUGACGAAGCCUUGGAUUUCUUUCCUAAAGGACUGGUUUUUAGAAGUCCACGUUUGAGGGAGUUGGAGCAGCCCAGAUCAGUUUCAGCCUUGCUGUUCCUGGGUGGAUCCCUCUUACUUUUCCAGGUGUGGUGGGUGGGAGCCUUAUUCUCCUGCUAGAUCUAGCCUCCGUGCUUUGCCUUAUAAAAGAAAACAAAUGGAUCCAUGUUAACUGAAUUGCCAUUCCCUUCCUCUUUAAACUACCUUUGAUUGCAAAGAUUUGUGGAGGUGUUGUAUGUUCAGUCUGCAAGUACAGUAAUGUUUGGUUUAUGUCCUUAAAGGGAUAAGGAAAUUCUAAGCAUGUUUUUUAGUUCACCUGAGUAAAGUGGCAACACACCUGGAAACAUUUUCAGCUUUGUGCUCUCUGAAAUGGCCUUGGAUUAAAUAAGGUUAGGCUAAGAGAAAACACGUACAGACUUUGGUGUUGAGAAUGCAUUUGAGAAAGAACAAGGGGAAUUCUUAUCUUUAAACCAAACUGAAAGUUGUUUUCUUGGAGGUGAGUUUUUUGUUUGGUUAAUUUGCUGUGAAAUCAAAAGUCUGUAAGAGCUGAAGGCCCAUGAGUGCUUUCAUAUCUUAUAUUUAAUCUUAAGGUAUGCUUUGUUUUUGCAAAUACAUUCUUGCAAAAAUACUGAUUCUAGGUAAUUAUAUAGCCAACUCAUCAGUAGCUGAAAACUGGGUGUUCUCUUCCUUCUCCCUUUGAAAAUGCGAAUCAGUCUGAAAAUUCUGGUUGGAAUAGAUACUGCCCUAAUUGUAACAAGAUGGACCUUAAUAUGUAAGCUGCUCAUUAGCUUUAAACUGGUAUGUAUCUUUAGUAAUCCUCUGGUUUCGUGCCUCCCUCCUCCCAAUUCUUUUUAGAGUAGAACUCUUCCUUGAAUUUGUUUUCUAGAAUGAAAGUAUUUCUUGAAAGGUGAUUUCAUCUUUGUGAGGUUGUGGCUUCAGGGGAAACAGAACUUUGUUCCUCC
RNAcentral lists this long non-coding RNA (1172 nucleotides) under Equus asinus (donkey). RNAcentral's name for it is "lncRNA (ENSEASG00005032463.1)". Lineage: Eukaryota; Metazoa; Chordata; Mammalia; Perissodactyla; Equidae. The record is from RNAcentral.